RNAcentral lists this ribosomal RNA (256 nucleotides) under uncultured bacterium. Its description in RNAcentral is "partial 16S ribosomal RNA". It matches the Rfam family "Bacterial small subunit ribosomal RNA", at positions 521 to 776 of the family's 1533-position model. The record is from RNAcentral.
UAAUACGGAGGAUCCGAGCGUUAUCCGGAUUUAUUGGGUUUAAAGGGUGCGCAGGCGGAAUAAUAAGUCAGCGGUGAAAUUUCUCGGCUUAACCGGGAGACUGCCGUUGAUACUGUUAAUCUAGAUUUUAGUUGGCGUAGGCGGAAUAUGUCAAGUAGCGGUGAAAUGCAUAGAUAUGACAUAGAACACCAAUCGGGAAGCCGGCUUACGAAGCUAUAAAUGACGCUCAUGCACGAAAGCGUGGGGAUCAAACAGG